This 213-nucleotide long non-coding RNA is filed under the name Mytilus galloprovincialis (Mediterranean mussel). The record is from RNAcentral. Lineage: Eukaryota; Metazoa; Mollusca; Bivalvia; Mytilida; Mytilidae.
GCUGUGUCAAAAUUACCAUUGUUACCUACACAUUUAAUUGAUAUUGUUAGGUUGUUGAAUAUUUAUGAUUAUUUAGAUGCUUGUUUAUGGUGUUUUCUAACGUUUGCUUUUUUUUGGUAUGCUUAGGGCGUCAAACCUGGUCAGCAGAAGCUCUACAUCUUUUAAUUCCCGUGAACAAUUGAUCAGAGAUAAUGUUGUUGUUAGUGAAAAGGG